This 424-nucleotide ribosomal RNA is filed under the name uncultured prokaryote. RNAcentral's name for it is "bacterial SSU rRNA". It matches the Rfam family "Bacterial small subunit ribosomal RNA", at positions 355 to 796 of the family's 1533-position model. The record is from RNAcentral.
UGGGGAAUCUUGGACAAUGGGGGCAACCCUGAUCCAGCCAUGCCGCGUGAACGAUGAAGGCCUUAGGGUUGUAAAGUUCUUUCGCCGGAGAAGAUAAUGACGGUACCCGGUAAAGAAGCCCCGGCUAACUCCGUGCCAGCAGCCGCGGUAAUACGGAGGGGGCUAGCGUUGUUCGGAAUUACUGGGCGUAAAGCGCACGUAGGCGGAUCAGUCAGUCAGAGGUGAAAUCCCAGGGCUCAACCCUGGAACUGCCUUUGAUACUGCUGGUCUAGAGAUCGAGAGAGGUGAGUGGAAUUCCGAGUGUAGAGGUGAAAUUCGUAGAUAUUCGGAGGAACACCAGUGGCGAAGGCGGCUCACUGGCUCGAUACUGACGCUGAGGUGCGAAAGCGUGGGGAGCAAACAGGAUUAGAUACCCCCGUAGUCC